This 237-nucleotide unclassified non-coding RNA is filed under the name fungal sp. Its description in RNAcentral is "partial internal transcribed spacer region". The stretch from base 1 to 46 matches the Rfam family "Eukaryotic small subunit ribosomal RNA", at positions 1786 to 1831 of the family's 1831-position model. The record is from RNAcentral. Lineage: Eukaryota; Fungi.
AAGUCGUAACAAGGUAACCGUAGGUGAACCUGCGGUUGGAUCAUUAACAAAUGAUUUGGUUUUUAACGAAAACACUGUGUGCAAUUAUAUCUGUCUCUGGUGGUUUGACAUUUCUCGUUUUUCGGGAAAGACUUAACCAUCGAAUGAUGAACAAACCUAUGUAUUUUCAAUUAUGUCUGAAUCAUUCACUAUUGUGCAAUGAAAAAACAACUUUUGACAACGGAUCUCUUGGUUCUG